UAUUCUCCCUUCAUCUCCUCCUCCAGGAAGGACCCCCCCAGCCCCGAGCUGCUCUCAGCCCUGCAGGAGCUGCUGCGCAUGGCAGGGGGGGCUCCGGGGGGGCUGCCCCUGCUGGACCCAGUGGGAGCCCUGCAGCUGCGGGCCCCCUGCUGUGGAGGCAGCUGCCCGUGCCCGAAGCCUGGGGGCGGCCCUGGGGGGGUUCCGCUGUGUGCACGGCCCCCGCUUUCCCCAGCUGUACUCGCAGUUUGCUGCCCGGCGCCGGCUGCAGGAACAGGUGGAGCAGCUCCAGUACCAGCUGUCGGACCGCUCCCUGCUGCUGCUGCCCGAGUACCGCCAGCGCCUCGGCGUGCUGCGGGCUCUGGGUUACGUGGCCGAGGGGGGUGCGGUGCAGCUCCCCGGGCGUGUGGCCGCGCUGC
Molecule: non-coding RNA, 416 nt
Organism: Meleagris gallopavo (turkey)
Lineage: Eukaryota; Metazoa; Chordata; Aves; Galliformes; Phasianidae
Source: RefSeq, a predicted model, not a curated record